Molecule: long non-coding RNA, 1586 nt
Organism: Dermochelys coriacea (leatherback sea turtle)
Lineage: Eukaryota; Metazoa; Chordata; Testudines; Dermochelyidae
Exons: 3
Source: RefSeq, a predicted model, not a curated record
AAAGAGUUCCACUGGUUGACUGUGCAUUUCUCCUCCCUUCCCCUGCCCCCCUUGUGGCCAUUUGUGUGCCCUUUGCUAUCUCUUUACCUUUAACUUCACUUUAGCUGCGGUCCACGCUUCUUUGUGCUUCAUCCCUCCUGUCUUUACUUUUUUUUAAUGUUCCUAUACCCUCCUUCACUCAUCUCUAGUUUCUUUUUGCAAAUUUAUCACAUUCUAGGCCAUAAUGAGCAAGAGAUAAAGACAUACACAUUCUUCACCCCCACUCUCAUGGCAGGACAGAAGGAAAUGUAUAUAGGAUUGAAGCAGAAUGCAACUGAACACAAAAUGUUCAGUGUUUUCCUCCCCUACUUAUCUGAGCCAGUCAGAGUGGGGGAGAGGAUGUGAUUUUUUUUUUUUUUUUUGGUUCCCACUCAGCAGCUGAUUGAUUGCAGAGUAGUAUAUCCAUUGAAAAUUGGGAGGAGGAGAAGCCAACAAACUGGCUACAUAACUUUCUCAGCAAAGCAUUAAAACAAGUUUAAUAACUGCAGAGCUCAGGAACGAAAUAUAAACCAGAUUUUGCAUAAAAUGUGUACAUAGAAGGGUAUUAAUGCUAAUUCUCUGGGCGGUGCUUAUAGAAGAUACAUCAUUGAAAUAAUUCACAAAAAUUAAAAAUAUUAUUUUCUUGAUGAGAGGCUCGACAUGGGCUUGAUAUUCUGUCUGUAAAGUAUAAUCUCACCCCACCAGGUGCUCUAACAGGCUGCUAAAAACUAUAUUUGGACACUUAAGUCCUUUUAACAAUAAUGAUCUAUCUGCAGAGUAUAUGGGGAUAAUGACUGAGGCUGCAACUGGGCUCAAAUUCUGUGUGGGAUGUGGGGGUUACAACUGUAAACUAUUCAUGUGUGUGUAUUGUGACAAAGUCAGACCUGACAGCUGUAAGAGAGUGGAGGAAGGCUGGUAUAUCAGCCCUAGAAUGGUGAAGGCCCUUUUCCCUAUGAAGUGAAAAGAGGUUACCUCAGGUUAACUAGAGACACUGGACUCCAAUUAAGGGCUGCUGGUGACCUUUAAAAAACCUUCUUCUGGUAAAAGAGGGGGAGGAGAGACAAGUUGCAGCAGGGCUAGGGAGGUGACAAGGCUUUUCCUGGGUGGAAGGUUGCUCCCCUCUCAGUAGAGGAAAAAGCCAUGUUAGCUGCUGUUUGGAGAAAGACUGGCCACCCAGAAGCUAGCAUAAUAAGAUACAAAACACACAGACCAGUAAUGCUGUGCAGAGGAAUAAGAGCUGCUGUGUGAGGCAAGUCACAAUCUUGCAAAAAUUAUUUUAUGGCAUCACAGAAUAUCAAGGAGGCUUUAAUAGACAAUACAUGACACUAUUCUUUUUUCUGACUGGAUACUGUUUUUCCAACAUGCUUGUUGUUUAGCCUCAUAGAUGCCCAUCCAUUGAAAACACCCUAGUAUGGUAUCCAUCUAACAUGAAAAGAUCUGAUAGCUUGGUCAACCUUGCUGAUUUUUGGAGUGUGAAUAUUUUCAGAUUCCACUGGAUAAAGCUGUUAUCUGAAGAUGUUUUCAAACUUGUAUUGUAUUCUUGGAUACAAAUAUGAUUCAUUACCAUC